CCUACGGGAGGCUGCAGUGAGGAAUAUUGGUCAAUGGAGGCAACUCUGAACCAGCCAUGCCGCGUGUAGGACGAUGCCCUAUGGGUUGUAAACUACUUUUAUUGGGGAAGCGGUACCCAAGGAAUAAGGACCGGCUAACUCCGUGCCAGCAGCCGCGGUAAUACGGAGGGUCCAAGCGUUAUCCGGAAUCAUUGGGUUUAAAGGGUGCGCAGGCGGUAAAGUAAGUCAGUGGUGAAAUCUCUCGGCUCAACCGAGAAACUGCCAUUGAUACUGCUAUACUUGAAUAUAGUCGAAGUGGGCGGAAUGUGACAUGUAGCGGUGAAAUGCUUAGAUAUGUCACAGAACACCGAUAGCGAAGGCAGCUCACUAAUAACAUUGACGCUCAUGCACGAAAGCGUGGGGAGCGAACAGGAUUAGAUACCCUUGUAGUC
This 431-nucleotide ribosomal RNA is filed under the name uncultured bacterium. Its description in RNAcentral is "partial 16S ribosomal RNA". It matches the Rfam family "Bacterial small subunit ribosomal RNA", at positions 338 to 795 of the family's 1533-position model. The record is from RNAcentral.